Molecule: ribosomal RNA, 520 nt
Filed under: uncultured Glomus
Lineage: Eukaryota; Fungi; Glomeromycota; Glomeromycetes; Glomerales; Glomeraceae
Description: SSU rRNA
Rfam family: Eukaryotic small subunit ribosomal RNA
Source: RNAcentral
AGCAGCCGCGGUAAUUCCAGCUCCAAUAGCGUAUAUUAAAGUUGUUGCAGUUAAAAAAGCUCGUAGUUGAAUUUCGGGAUCAAAUUGUCGGUCGUGCCUCGGUACGCACUGGUAUUAUUGGUUCCUACCUUCUGAAGAACCGCGAUGUCAUUAAUUUGGUGUCGUGGGGAAUCAGGACUGUUACUUUGAAAAAAUUAGAGUGUUUAAAGCAGGCUUACGCUUGAAUACAUUAGCAUGGAAUAAUGAAAUAGGACGUUUGAUUCUAUUUUGUUGGUUUCUAGGAUUGACGUAAUGAUUAAUAGGGAUAGUUGGGGGGCAUUAGUAUUCAAUUGUCAGAGGUGAAAUUCUUGGAUUAUUGGAAGACUAACUACUGCGAAAGCAUUUGCCAAGGAUGUUUUUCAUUUAAUCAAAGAACGAAAGUUAGGGGAUCGAAGACGAUCAGAUACCGUCGUAGUCUUAACCAUAAACUAUGCCGACUAGGGAUCGGAUGAUGUUAAUUUUUUUAAUGACUCAUUCGGCG